GCAGCCUGCAAAGCUUCCCAGCCCCGUGCAACCUGGUGGUGAGCACGCCUGGCAUGCCCUACGUAGACCCUUUGCUUCUCCAGCUUGUCUUGAUUGAACGUCAUUCCCGGCACUGCACAGCCCUUACGGUAACACAGAGGAAAAAAUUUAUUUAGCGGGGCUUAAGGUCACGUUUUGAGCGUUAACAGUUACAAGAUCGGGAACAGAGAGUUACAAGAGAAAACAACACAUAAACCGCAGUCGUAUGCCGAGUGCAAGGGCCAGGCUGCUCCCUCGGCUCUGGUCCCGCGCGGCAGCGCAGGGAUGCUCAGAGCCCCACUGCCUGCCCGGGGCUGUCUGUGAAUGCGCGUUAAUGACACUUGCUGCCAGGGAAAAUAAAGGUGAUGCUCCUCGUGUCUUCCUGUAGGGUGAGGAUGGAUCGUCAUCGCAAUCCUGACUGCCACAUUCCCUCAUGGGGACAUUUGGUGAGGCUAAACCUUUCCGCAGGCGAGAACACGACCCCGGAGAGCUGUCAGCGUUGACUGCAGCCGUCCUGGCGGUGUGAUGACGGGCUGACGGCUGAUGUGAGCUUAAUGACUGGCAGGACAUUCUAUGAUUCCAUGAUGUACCGCCGGUUCCUCAGCGACUGAUCCGGGCAGGUCCUGUGUCCGAGGACUUACUCGCCAGAGAACGGGAGCACAGGAGAUUUACUCUGCACGCACUGCAGUCAAACGUGAGCCAAACUGUCGGCUGAAACACAGCAGACUGAGACUGGAGCAAGAAGAGUGAGGUGCCUCUUCACCCUUUGAUGCCCUCAAGCUUGCUGCAAGUGGAGGGCUCAGUUGCAUCUCCUGCAUGGCCACCACCAGGAGAAUGUACUGGAGAGACGGUGAGAAGAGAGACCUGCCGGACGCUGCUGGAGGUGUGGGGUCCUGCCAGCAUCAGCCUCCAUCCCUGAAGCAGGUGGUGGCACCGUCUUCACCUCAUCAAAGGCAAAACACUCAUUCUUGCCUGAGCAGGAUGAGCCACUAAUUGUAUGAGCUGCAUUGAUUUAGAGAAUGAAAUAUCCAAGGUAACAAAGCUGGGUGAAUUAAAAGCUUAACAGCCUGAAGAGGUGUUAUAACGCCACAAAUUCGUUGGGAACUUGUCUGGGCUAUCCCACUCCUUCUUGAGGCUGGCAUCCCUGCCAGGCAGUCUCAUCCUUCCCUCCAGGAUUGUGCUCGCUUGCUGGAUUUCCUCUUUCUAAGGAUGCUGCUUUAGGGGAAGGCAGAGUGGUGAUGCUGCUGCUCGUCCUGUUCCUUACCACGGCUCCCUACCCACCCCAGCUCCCCAGCGUGACCCGACGGGCACAGGGAUGGGAUUUUCCCAUCCCCACGGCUCUGCCCAUGGGCACGUUGCAGCCAGGAAACAGGCAGAACAGCCGAGGACUGCGCUUUGUGUUGGUGAUUUGGCAGCGACACAGCAUGGUGGGGUUGUUGGGGGGCUUCGAAAAGCCAGGAGACUAUUUCUCACUGUUUUUUGACCUAUCUUUGAUGAGCCAAAUAAUACCAGAAAAUGGGCUGUGUUUGCAAAGGUGAUGCCUCUGUGUUUCUCACUGGGGUAAACAAGAAGAAGAAUAGCAGGGAUGGUUCUGAGAAUCCUCUUCAGUCAUUGCUCUUCUUUCCUGGCAGUAUCAGCAAGCUCUCAAGCACCUCUGCUCUCUAAUCUAAUCAGUCCUAGGAAAACAGGAUUUGCCGCAGUGCCUGACCACUUAGGCACCCACCAGCAGAAUAAAGACCAGAUAUAUUUCAUAAGAAUGGCCAAAAGCUAUCCUAGCACCUUUAAAAUGCAGUGACAGCGUCUCCGGGACCUGGAUGUCUCCCUGCUUUGUGUUACUGCUCCGAAUUCCAGCGCUGCCAGCUUUGAGGAAGACUCUGGCAGGCAGGUUUGUCUAAAUGAAGGAGGAUUUGUACGCAGAAAGCUCUAGAAUAGUGAAGUAAUUUCUGUUCUCUCUAAAAUCCUGUGAUGAGGGCUGGUACAGCAGCUCCACCGUGCAGCUCUGUGCCGGUGCUUGUGUGUGUUUGUAAAGGAAAAAAGUGUUUCGAAGAGCGUAAAGAGCUGCUUGUGCUCACAGUCCCAAUAACAAGAUGUGUUUGCUACCACUGCAGUUAAAAACGGCACUUUUAAAACGUGGAUUUGCUCU
Cuculus canorus (common cuckoo) is the source of this 2161-nucleotide long non-coding RNA. RefSeq lists it as uncharacterized. The record is from RefSeq and is a predicted model, not a curated record. NCBI's taxonomy places the organism in Eukaryota, Metazoa, Chordata, Aves, Cuculiformes, Cuculidae. The transcript is spliced from 4 exons.